This 249-nucleotide long non-coding RNA is filed under the name Manihot esculenta (cassava). RNAcentral describes it as "long non-coding RNA (MESC_LNC006633)". The record is from RNAcentral. Lineage: Eukaryota; Viridiplantae; Streptophyta; Magnoliopsida; Malpighiales; Euphorbiaceae.
AUGCAGUCCGUGAAGAUGUACCAUGCUCGGUGGACCGCCCGGUACUAGCAUCGCCUCUGGGAGCUCGCUCUGUCUCAAGAUCAGCAGGAGAAGCAUCAUCUGACUCCUCAUCAGAACCAUCAUGUGCCUGUGCUGCUGCGUGUGCUGCUCUGCGGGCUGCAAAAUCUCUCCUAGAAUUAUAAAAAACAUUGCCUCUCCUAGUCAGACCCAUAUGGUGGAGGGUAGCCUCAGUGUAGGGGGUAUACUCAC